AUUGAACGCUGGCGGCAGGCCUAACACAUGCAAGUCGAGCGAGCGGCGGACGGGUGAGUAAUGUCUGGGAAACUGCCUGAUGGAGGGGGAUAACUACUGGAAACGGUAGCUAAUACCGCAUACCAUCAUAUUUGCCCAGAUGGGAUUAGCUAGUAGGUUGGGUAACGGCUAACCUAGGCGACGAUCCCUAGCUGGUCUGAGAGGAUGACCAGCCACACUGGAACUGAGACACGGACAAGACUCAUACGGGAGGCAGCAGUGGGGAAUAUUGCACAAUGGGCGCAAGCCUGAUGCAGCCAUGCCGCGUGUAUGAAGAAGGCCUUCGGGUUGUAAAGUACUUUGAGCGGGGAGGAGGGACAGGAAGAAGAAGCAACGGCUAACUCCGUGCCAGCAGCCGCGGUAAUUG
RNAcentral lists this ribosomal RNA (406 nucleotides) under uncultured bacterium. RNAcentral's name for it is "partial 16S ribosomal RNA". It matches the Rfam family "Bacterial small subunit ribosomal RNA", at positions 30 to 527 of the family's 1533-position model. The record is from RNAcentral.